GUUUCCGUAGGUGAACUGCGGAAGGAUCAUUA
Molecule: ribosomal RNA, 32 nt
Filed under: Tomentella subclavigera
Lineage: Eukaryota; Fungi; Basidiomycota; Agaricomycetes; Thelephorales; Thelephoraceae
Description: partial 18S ribosomal RNA
Source: RNAcentral